GAUGAACGCUGGCGGCGUGCCUAACACAUGCAAGUCAAGGAGAAGGUAACCUUCGGGGAACCGGAUACUGGCGCACGGGUGAGUAACACGUGGAUUAUCUACCCUUUACACAGACAUAACUCAGGGAAACUUGAGCUAAUAUCUGAUGAGGCCUCCGGGUCAAAGCUUCGGCGGUAAAGGAUGAGUCUGCGUCUGAUUAGCUAGUUGGUAAGGUAAUGGCUUACCAAGGCGACGAUCAGUAACUGGUCUGAGAGGACGAUCAGUCACACUGGAACUGAGACACGGUCCAGACUCCUACGGGAGGCAGCAGUGAGGAAUUUGGACAAUGGGGGAAACCCUGAUCCAGCGACGCCGCGUGUGGGAUGAAUGGGUUAUGCCCUGUAAACCACUGUCAGCAGAGAAGAAAAGGUUCCUUUGGAACCCGGGACUGUAUCUGCAGAGGAAGGACCGGCUAACUACGUG
Molecule: ribosomal RNA, 462 nt
Filed under: uncultured bacterium
Lineage: Bacteria
Description: bacterial SSU rRNA
Rfam family: Bacterial small subunit ribosomal RNA
Source: RNAcentral